This 301-nucleotide ribosomal RNA is filed under the name uncultured bacterium. RNAcentral's name for it is "partial 16S ribosomal RNA". It matches the Rfam family "Bacterial small subunit ribosomal RNA", at positions 509 to 808 of the family's 1533-position model. The record is from RNAcentral.
CAGCCGCCGCGGUAAUACGAAGGGAGCUAGCGUUGUUCGGAUUUACUGGGCGUAAAGCGCACGUAGGCGGACUUUAAGUCAGGGGUGAAAUCCCGGGGCUCAACCCCGGAACUGCCUUUGAUACUGGGAGUCCUGAGUUCGAGAGAGGUGAGUGGAAUUGCGAGUGUAGAGGUGAAAUUCGUAGAUAUUCGCAGGAACACCAGUGGCGAAGGCGGCUCACUGGCUCGAUACUGACGCUGAGGUGCGAAAGCGUGGGGAGCAAACAGGAUUAGAUACCCCCGUAGUCCCUGUUUCUUAUACA